GUAACCUGCCUGUAAGACUGGGAUAACUCCGGGAAACCGGGGCUAAUACCGGAUGGUUGUCUGAACCGCAUGGUUCAGACAUAAAAGGUGGCUUCGGCUACCACUUACAGAUGGACCCGCGGCGCAUUAGCUAGUUGGUGAGGUAACGGCUCACCAAGGCGACGAUGCGUAGCCGACCUGAGAGGGUGAUCGGCCACACUGGGACUGAGACACGGCCCAGACUCCUACGGGAGGCAGCAGUAGGGAAUCUUCCGCAAUGGACGAAAGUCUGACGGAGCAACGCCGCGUGAGUGAUGAAGGUUUUCGGAUCGUAAAGCUCUGUUGUUAGGGAAGAACAAGUGCCGUUCAAAUAGGGCGGCACCUUGACGGUACCUAACCAGAAAGCCACGGCUAACUACGUGCCAGCAGCCGCGGUAAUACGUAGGUGGCAAGCUCCGGGAUUAUUGGGGCGUAAAGGGCUCGCAGGCGGUUUCUUAAGUCUGAUGUGAAAGCCCCCGGCUCAACCGGGGAGGGUCAUUGGAAACUGGGGAACUUGAGUGCAGAAGAGGAGAGUGGAAUUCCACGUGUAGCGGUGAAAUGCGUAGAGAUGUGGAGGAACACCAGUGGCGAAGGCGACUCUCUGGUCUGUAACUGACGCUGAGGAGCGAAAGCGUGGGGAGCGAACAGGAUUAGAUACCCUGGUAGUCCACGCCGUAAACGAUGAGUGCUAAGUGUUAGGGGGUUUCCGCCCCUUAGUGCUGCAGCUAACGCAUUAAGCACUCCGCCUGGGGAGUACGGUCGCAAGACUGAAACUCAAAGGAAUUGACGGGGGCCCGCACAAGCGGUGGAGCAUGUGGUUUAAUUCGAAGCAACGCGAAGAACCUUACCAGGUCUUGACAUCCUCUGACAAUCCUAGAGAUAGGACGUCCCCUUCGGGGGCAGAGUGACAGGUGGUGCAUGGUUGUCGUCAGCUCGUGUCGUGAGAUGUUGGGUUAAGUCCCGCAACGAGCGCAACCCUUGAUGUUAGUUGCCAGCAUUCAGUUGGGCACUCUAAGGUGACUGCCGGUGACAAACCGGAGGAAGGUGGGGAUGACGUCAAAUCAUCAUGCCCCUUAUGACCUGGGCUACACACGUGCUACAAUGGACAGAACAAAGGGCAGCGAAACCGCGAGGUUAAGCCAAUCCCACAAAUCUGUUCUCAGUUCGGAUCGCAGUCUGCAACUCGACUGCGUGAAGCUGGAAUCGCUAGUAAUCGCGGAU
This 1239-nucleotide ribosomal RNA is filed under the name Bacillus amyloliquefaciens. RNAcentral describes it as "bacterial SSU rRNA". It matches the Rfam family "Bacterial small subunit ribosomal RNA", at positions 121 to 1349 of the family's 1533-position model. Lineage: Bacteria; Bacillati; Bacillota; Bacilli; Caryophanales; Bacillaceae. The record is from RNAcentral.